Molecule: long non-coding RNA, 2214 nt
Organism: Capsicum annuum
Lineage: Eukaryota; Viridiplantae; Streptophyta; Magnoliopsida; Solanales; Solanaceae
Exons: 2
Source: RefSeq, a predicted model, not a curated record
CCCAAACUUUUCACAAUAGAAUUUAGGUUUAAUUUAAUUUGUAUGGAAAAUUUUCAUUAUCAUCUUCCUCUCUCAAUUACGGCUAAAGCUUCCAAAAUCACCCUACAUUCUCUUUGAAAAGCAAGAUAUGGUUAUCUUUGCUUUUCUCUUUUAUCUAUGAGUUGAUUGUUCUUCUUAUCUGAUCGUUGCGGGUAUAAGCAGUUACAAAUAAGAUUCAUAUAAUGUUUUUAGGACGAGUUAAGAUGUAAACUGAGUUGCAUCUAUGCCUUUUUUCUCUUCUAUUGUCUUCUUCUUUGUGGCGACUGCUAUGUUAUAUUGUUGAUGCCGUGAUAGUAGCAAGGUAUCUUCGUGCAACUCUUGUAAUCCCAGACAUCAGGGGGAGCGAACCUGGGGAUAAGAGGUUUGUGUUCUCUAUUCUGUUUUCCUUAUCUUGUCAUUCUUGUAGAGUUCUAGUGUUUUUUCAAAUGAAAAUGAUUCACGAAAUUUAAUGUGUGUUUCUAUUGUCAUUGAUUGAGGUUACUUGAAUUAUUCUUUCUGUAUUAGCCCUUGUAACAUCACAUUUUUCGUGCCUGAUUUUCCCAGAUAGAAACUAGACGCUCACUCAUGAGCCAUGAUAAUGCACAUAUUUCUAUUUUCAGAAUCUCCAUUAUUUUAUUUUCGUAUCUGUUCCUCUAUUUUUCUUUUUUUCACUCCAGUCCCAGUUUGAAAGAGCUUGUCAAUGAUCACUAAAAAGAUGAUUGAUCAUGCACAUGGCACGAUGCUCUGCCAAGUUUUUCUGUGUCUUCUACUUCUCCUUUUCCGUUUUGUGCAUUUGGAGCAGUUUUAAAGGCCCCACUCGGGGAAUGCUUAAUCACUGAGCUAAAGUAGUGUAGAGUAAGUGCUUCGCGUUUCUUUGACAGGCAGUUUACUGCAGGCAACAAGCACACCUCAACGCCCACAAACUCUCUCUCAAUUAAUUGCAAAAUUUCAAUUCUUUGGUCCAUAAGAUAAUUAUUUGUACUUGUCAUUAUAUUUUUCUCAUUACAUAUGUUAUGUGUAUAUGUGUGGACAAGAUUGUCCAUUAAAUGCACUUAAAGCCCCAACAGACACUUCACACUUUCUUACGCUUUUUCCCUCCCGUAACUCUGGAGAUUGAGUUUUGAGGAGGACACUAGAUAUGACCUUCAUGAGCCAUUUUCCUAGUUGAAGUUUCUUUUUGCUGAACUAUACCAUUUGGGGUCUCGAAAUACUAGAGGGAGGUGAUUAGACAUGACAUGGAGCAGCUUCAGCUUACUAAAACAACCUCUCUGCUUCACUUGAGUUAGUGGUAUGGUCUACGUACACUCUACCCUCCCCAGACCCCACUAUGUGGGAAUACACUGGGUAUGUUGUUAUUGAUUACGUUACCUUUAGCUUGCUAGCUGGGAUAUAUAUAUUAUAUAUAGGCCUUAUUUGUUUGCACUUAAUGGAUGUCUGAAUCUGAAUGAUUCAGACUUCAGACCAUUAAGUGCAUUUGUUUUUCAUUAAGAUUUUGCCACUUAAUAGGUCUGAAUUGGUCAUAAUCAUUCAGAUCUAAAACUAAGUCUUAAACAUUAAGAGGCAUUCUUGUGUUGGAUAAUAUUCACCACCACUCUAACCAUAAUCAUCAGUCACCACCAAUUACCUCUACCACCACCACCAUUGUCAACCACCACCUAGCCCCCAACCACCUCCACCAUUACAACCACCAUUCAUAAUCAUAAUUGCUACUAACCACUAUUUUCAGUCUCUUAUCACAUCUACUACCUCCAUUAUUUUAAUUACACCAGCCGCUAUCACAACCGUCAACACCAACGCCAAUGCCAGUGCCAGCACCACCACCAUCACCAACCACUAUUGGCCAAUCUCAACUGCUAACCAACUCAUCUAUCAUAACUACCGCCAUUACUAACUACUACUAACACAUCAUCAACAUCCACACAUUCUUCAGCCACCACCACCAUUGUAAUCGAUGUUGCCACCUCUAUCACUGCUUCAACCACCAUCAUCGCUACAAUAUAUCUCUAUUAAUAAUCAUUUUCACCAUCACAACUAACAUCAUCUCCACCAUCACAGCUAACAACUAAGUUUCUCGGACUCGGGAGCGGGUAUCCAAUAUGGGUACGGAUCUAGAAGUCGGAUCCUUCACGGUCUCAAUUUAAAGAUUCGACAAUAUGGAUCUAGGGAUGGAUACAGGUGUGGGGAUUCGGCGAAAAA